This 2185-nucleotide ribosomal RNA is filed under the name Escherichia coli. Its description in RNAcentral is "partial 23S ribosomal RNA". It matches the Rfam family "Bacterial large subunit ribosomal RNA", at positions 780 to 2925 of the family's 2925-position model. Lineage: Bacteria; Pseudomonadati; Pseudomonadota; Gammaproteobacteria; Enterobacterales; Enterobacteriaceae. The record is from RNAcentral.
CGACUAAUGUUGAAAAAUUAGCGGAUGACUUGUGGCUGGGGGUGAAAGGCCAAUCAAACCGGGAGAUAGCUGGUUCUCCCCGAAAGCUAUUUAGGUAGCGCCUCGUGAAUUCAUCUCCGGGGGUAGAGCACUGUUUCGGCAAGGGGGUCAUCCCGACUUACCAACCCGAUGCAAACUGCGAAUACCGGAGAAUGUUAUCACGGGAGACACACGGCGGGUGCUAACGUCCGUCGUGAAGAGGGAAACAACCCAGACCGCCAGCUAAGGUCCCAAAGUCAUGGUUAAGUGGGAAACGAUGUGGGAAGGCCCAGACAGCCAGGAUGUUGGCUUAGAAGCAGCCAUCAUUUAAAGAAAGCGUAAUAGCUCACUGGUCGAGUCGGCCUGCGCGGAAGAUGUAACGGGGCUAAACCAUGCACCGAAGCUGCGGCAGCGACACUGUGUGUUGUUGGGUAGGGGAGCGUUCUGUAAGCCUGUGAAGGUGUGCUGUGAGGCAUGCUGGAGGUAUCAGAAGUGCGAAUGCUGACAUAAGUAACGAUAAAGCGGGUGAAAAGCCCGCUCGCCGGAAGACCAAGGGUUCCUGUCCAACGUUAAUCGGGGCAGGGUGAGUCGACCCCUAAGGCGAGGCCGAAAGGCGUAGUCGAUGGGAAACAGGUUAAUAUUCCUGUACUUGGUGUUACUGCGAAGGGGGGACGGAGAAGGCUAUGUUGGCCGGGCGACGGUUGUCCCGGUUUAAGCGUGUAGGCUGGUUUUCCAGGCAAAUCCGGAAAAUCAAGGCUGAGGCGUGAUGACGAGGCACUACGGUGCUGAAGCAACAAAUGCCCUGCUUCCAGGAAAAGCCUCUAAGCAUCAGGUAACAUCAAAUCGUACCCCAAACCGACACAGGUGGUCAGGUAGAGAAUACCAAGGCGCUUGAGAGAACUCGGGUGAAGGAACUAGGCAAAAUGGUGCCGUAACUUCGGGAGAAGGCACGCUGAUAUGUAGGUGAAGUCCCUCGCGGAUGGAGCUGAAAUCAGUCGAAGAUACCAGCUGGCUGCAACUGUUUAUUAAAAACACAGCACUGUGCAAACACGAAAGUGGACGUAUACGGUGUGACGCCUGCCCGGUGCCGGAAGGUUAAUUGAUGGGGUCAGCGCAAGCGAAGCUCUUGAUCGAAGCCCCGGUAAACGGCGGCCGUAACUAUAACGGUCCUAAGGUAGCGAAAUUCCUUGUCGGGUAAGUUCCGACCUGCACGAAUGGCGUAAUGAUGGCCAGGCUGUCUCCACCCGAGACUCAGUGAAAUUGAACUCGCUGUGAAGAUGCAGUGUACCCGCGGCAAGACGGAAAGACCCCGUGAACCUUUACUAUAGCUUGACACUGAACAUUGAGCCUUGAUGUGUAGGAUAGGUGGGAGGCUUUGAAGUGUGGACGCCAGUCUGCAUGGAGCCGACCUUGAAAUACCACCCUUUAAUGUUUGAUGUUCUAACGUGGACCCGUGAUCCGGGUUGCGGACAGUGUCUGGUGGGUAGUUUGACUGGGGCGGUCUCCUCCUAAAGAGUAACGGAGGAGCACGAAGGUUGGCUAAUCCUGGUCGGACAUCAGGAGGUUAGUGCAAUGGCAUAAGCCAGCUUGACUGCGAGCGUGACGGCGCGAGCAGGUGCGAAAGCAGGUCAUAGUGAUCCGGUGGUUCUGAAUGGAAGGGCCAUCGCUCAACGGAUAAAAGGUACUCCGGGGAUAACAGGCUGAUACCGCCCAAGAGUUCAUAUCGACGGCGGUGUUUGGCACCUCGAUGUCGGCUCAUCACAUCCUGGGGCUGAAGUAGGUCCCAAGGGUAUGGCUGUUCGCCAUUUAAAGUGGUACGCGAGCUGGGUUUAGAACGUCGUGAGACAGUUCGGUCCCUAUCUGCCGUGGGCGCUGGAGAACUGAGGGGGGCUGCUCCUAGUACGAGAGGACCGGAGUGGACGCAUCACUGGUGUUCGGGUUGUCAUGCCAAUGGCACUGCCCGGUAGCUAAAUGCGGAAGAGAUAAGUGCUGAAAGCAUCUAAGCACGAAACUUGCCCCGAGAUGAGUUCUCCCUGACCCUUUAAGGGUCCUGAAGGAACGUUGAAGACGACGACGUUGAUAGGCCGGGUGUGUAAGCGCAGCGAUGCGUUGAGCUAACCGGUACUAAUGAACCGUGAGGCUUAACCUUACAACGCCGAAGGUGUUU